UGGGGAAUAUUGCGCAAUGGGCGAAAGCCUGACGCAGCAACGCCGUGUGAGGGAUGAAGGCUUUCGGGUCGUAAACCUCUGUCGGAAGGGAAGAACGGGCAUUGGUCUAAUAGGCCUUUGUUUUGACGGUACCUUUAGAGGAAGCACCGGCUAACUCCGUGCCAGCAGCCGCGGUAAUACGGAGGGUGCAAGCGUUAUUCGGAAUUACUGGGCGUAAAGCGCACGUAGGCGGCCUUGUAAGUCAGGGGUGAAAUCCCACGGCUCAACCGUGGAACUGCCUUUGAAACUGCAGGGCUUGAAUCCUGGAGAGGGUGGCGGAAUUCCUGGUGUAGGAGUGAAAUCCGUAGAUAUCAGGAGGAACACCGGUGGCGAAGGCGGCCACCUGGACAGGUAUUGACGCUGAGGUGCGAAAGUGUGGGGAGCAAACAG
RNAcentral lists this ribosomal RNA (429 nucleotides) under uncultured Desulfomicrobium sp. Its description in RNAcentral is "bacterial SSU rRNA". It matches the Rfam family "Bacterial small subunit ribosomal RNA", at positions 355 to 775 of the family's 1533-position model. The record is from RNAcentral. Lineage: Bacteria; Pseudomonadati; Thermodesulfobacteriota; Desulfovibrionia; Desulfovibrionales; Desulfomicrobiaceae.